UACGUAGGGACCAAGCGUUGUUCGGAUUUACUGGGCGUAAAGCGCUCGCAGGUGGUUCGUCGCGUCGUGCGUGAAAGACCCCGGCUCAACUGGGGGGUGUCGUGCGAUACGGGCGGACUGGAGGCCAGUAGGGGGAUGCGGAAUUCCGGGUGUAGUGGUGGAAUGCGUAGAGAUCCGGAGGAACACCAGCGGCGAAGGCGGCAUCCUGGACUGGUCCUGACACUCAGGAGCGAAAGCGUGGGGAGCGAUCCGG
RNAcentral lists this ribosomal RNA (253 nucleotides) under uncultured bacterium. Its description in RNAcentral is "partial 16S ribosomal RNA". It matches the Rfam family "Bacterial small subunit ribosomal RNA", at positions 524 to 776 of the family's 1533-position model. The record is from RNAcentral.